RNAcentral lists this unclassified non-coding RNA (419 nucleotides) under soil metagenome. RNAcentral describes it as "partial contains 5.8S ribosomal RNA, internal transcribed spacer 2, and large subunit ribosomal RNA". The stretch from base 1 to 120 matches the Rfam family "5.8S ribosomal RNA", at positions 35 to 154 of the family's 154-position model. The record is from RNAcentral.
GAUGAAGAACGUAGCGAAAUGCGAUAAGUAAUGUGAAUUGCAGAAUUCAGUGAAUCAUCGAAUCUUUGAACGCAUCUUGCGCUCCUUGGUAUUCCUUGGAGCAUGCCUGUUUGAGUAUCAUGAGCAAAUCUCAAAGUCAAUUCCUUUUGUUAAUUCAAUUGGUUUUGCUUUGGACUUGGAGGUCUUGCAGAUUUUCACAGUCUGCUCCUCUUAAAUGCAUUAGCUGGAUCUCAGUAAUUAUGCUUGGUUCCACUCGGCGUGAUAAGUAUCACUCGCUCAGGACACUGUUAAAAAGGUGGCCAGGAAAAUACUGAUUGAACCGCUUCUAACGGUCUAUUAAGUUAGACAAUUACCCUUAAGUUUGAUCUCUAAUCAGGUAGGACUACCCGCUGAACUUAAGCAUAUCAAUAAGCGGAGGA